Molecule: ribosomal RNA, 395 nt
Filed under: uncultured cyanobacterium
Lineage: Bacteria; Bacillati; Cyanobacteriota
Description: bacterial SSU rRNA
Rfam family: Bacterial small subunit ribosomal RNA
Source: RNAcentral
GGGAAUUUUCCGCAAUGGGCGCAAGCCUGACGGAGCAAUACCGCGUGCGGGAGGAAGGCUUAUUGGUUGUAAACCUCUUUUGAUAGGGAAGAAGCUCUGACGGUACCUGAGGAAUCAGCAUCGGCUAACUCCGUGCCAGCAGCCGCGGUAAUACGGAGGAUGCAAGCGUUAUCCGGAAUUAUUGGGCGUAAAGCGUCCGCAGGUGGUUGUUCAAGUCUGCUGUUAAAGCGUGCGGCUUAACCGCAUACCGGCAGUGGAAACUGCACGACUAGAGUGCGGUAGGGGUCGGGGGAAUUCCCAGUGUAGCGGUGAAAUGCGUAGAUAUUGGGAAGAACACCGGUCAUGAAGAGUGCUCCGCAAGUGCGAUUAGAUACACUAGUGUCAUGGGAUUGACC